ACUAUCAACCACGAAGUCCCCAGGAUAAAACAACUCAGAUCACUGUAUCGGAGUUCUACUGCACUAUAGAAAACCGUUCUAGAAUUACACCCACAGUAUGACAGUCUGAUGACUACCAGUCGUAAUAUGGUACUAAGACCAUUCAAAAGAAAUAGAAGAAGUGAGUAAGGAAAGUGAGAAGUGAGAAAAGCCUCAGAUACGAAGAACUUUUUGUGUGUUUUUUCAACUGAGGAGAACACUAUAUUUAUAGAUGAAAUUCGUAACUGGAUCAGAGAAAAAGGUGCGAUCCAUUAGGUCUGACUCACUAAACGUGUGUAAUGAUACUUAGGAUUUGACCACAGAAACGUGCGCCACAAUUUGUUUGACCACCAAAAUGAGUGCCACGUUUCGUUUGACCACAAUACGUGCCCUUAGACUUGACUUAGGUUUUUGACCGGGCAAUAAUAGAUACACGAGAUCAAUAAUUAGGGAUGUUGAAUGUUGACUCGGCCCGGCGGGUCAGAUGGACAGCGGCGACGCGCGCGUGUGGUGGUCAAUUUUGCUUGCAUGCUCCCUCCUUUACAAAAUUGGGUACCCCUUGGGGCACACCCCAAGUACCAUACCUCCACCUUAUAUACCCUACUAGUGUGUGAUAUCCCUCCUAUGUGGAACUUCCUUAUUUUUCAAUUCACAACAACACUAGCUCUCAUAAAUGUCAUCAUUAUUUCCAACAAACUUCCAUUAAAAUCAUCAUCAUUUCCAACAUCUGUAAUCAACACCAGAAGCUACAAUUGUCUAUCUCGGUAUCUAUUUGUAAUUAUUUUGAAUGCGUUGCAAACAUGCAAUAUGGCAGCUAAUUUUUUUUAAAAAAAUUCAUGAAUCACGAGACAUGUAAACAAAAGCUGUCGGUUUCUUCUUGAUUUUGAGCAACAAGUCAAGUGUGCAUUAGUCGGUCUUGCAUCAGAUAAGCAUCCUUUUGGUAGCCAAGAAGUUAAUGUGUCAUCUCUUGGAUGGGCAAUGUCAGUAGUCUCAUCUAGAGAAUUCCGGUUACAUGGGGACUGCUUUGGACAAUCAUGCUCUCAUUUUACAACUUUGUCAUGUCAAGACUGAUGGUAAAGUACAAAAUAGAGUUGAGAAAUACAAGAGUUCAACAAAGUUGCUUGUGAAAAAUGUUGCUUUUGAGGCAAUAGAGGAGGAUCUGAGACAAUUGUUUUGCCCGUUUGGCCAGAUAAAUACUUUUAAAAGUGAUAAUUUGAUCCAAUUGCUGCAAGAAUAUGUACAUUUAGUCGUUUGGUGCAAGUAUUCAAAUAUUUCCCUUUCACUUAUGUUUGAUGGCUCCAAACCGUGUAGAUUAAAAGCCUAAGGUUUCCAAUGAAGUUUGGAAAUCAUAGAGGCUUUGCUUUUGCGGAGUAUGUUACUCAACAAGAGGCACAAAAUGCUCUUACAGCACUUUCAAGCACCCAUUUAUAUGGCAGACAUUUGGUAAGUGAACCUAAGUUAUGGAUUUUUGAAAUUUUAUUUAGGCAAUGCUUUAAUUUCCCCAAUUUUUAAGUGGUGUCAAUAAUUUCUAUUUACACUGCAAUAUAUUUGAGAAACAAUGGUCCUUACUAUUUUCAAGUGAUAGAGAGAGCGAAAGAAGGUGAGAGUCUGGAGGAACUGCUGCUCAAUUCGAUUCGAUUUUGUCUAUAAUUACAUUAGUGUUAUAGUUCUACUUAUUUGUUGUGACAAUGCUACGAUUCAAUUGAUAUUUAGUUGAUUUAUUAAUUGUUAUAAUGAAGGAAGUGUGAAAUUUAGUUAAAUUUUGAAUA
This is a non-coding RNA of Cicer arietinum (chickpea), 1787 nucleotides long. The record is from RefSeq and is a predicted model, not a curated record. Lineage: Eukaryota; Viridiplantae; Streptophyta; Magnoliopsida; Fabales; Fabaceae.